This 486-nucleotide ribosomal RNA is filed under the name uncultured bacterium. Its description in RNAcentral is "partial 16S ribosomal RNA". It matches the Rfam family "Bacterial small subunit ribosomal RNA", at positions 30 to 507 of the family's 1533-position model. The record is from RNAcentral.
AUUGAACGCUGGCGGCAUGCCUUACACAUGCAAGUCGAACGGCAGCACGGGUGCUUGCACCUGGUGGCGAGUGGCGAACGGGUGAGUAAUACAUCGGAACAUGUCCUGUAGUGGGGGAUAGCCCGGCGAAAGCCGGAUUAAUACCGCAUACGAUCUACGGCUGAAAGCGGGGGCCCUUCGGGCCUCGCGCUAUAGGGUUGGCCGAUGGCUGAUUAGCUAGUUGGUGGGGUAAAGGCCUACCAAGGCGACGAUCAGUAGCUGGUCUGAGAGGACGACCAGCCACACUGGGACUGAGACACGGCCCAGACUCCUACGGGAGGCAGCAGUGGGGAAUUUUGGACAAUGGGCGAAAGCCUGAUCCAGCAAUGCCGCGUGUGUGAAGAAGGCCUUCGGGUUGUAAAGCACUUUUGUCCGGAAAGAAAUCCUUGGCCCUAAUACGGUCGGGGGAUGACGGUACCGGAAGAAUAAGCACCGGCUAACUACGUG